AAUAAAAGUUUCUUGAAAUGGGGAUGGCAUCUACUGUAUAACACUUGAAAGAAAAUAUAACACAGAUAAAUCAAAUUUGCCUCAUACUGAUACUAUCCUUAACGAUUUUUAAUAUCAGUAGUGCUCAGUUUUCCUUGGCUUCUGAUAUCAGUAGCGCUUAGUUUUCCUUGGCUUCUCGUUUGAGAAGACCUCAGAUUUAGCCCCCCUCGUCUAAGUACGUUAUGAAGUGCUUUGCUAUGUACAAAUGAAUUAUCUAUGUCGGGUC
Molecule: long non-coding RNA, 265 nt
Filed under: Mytilus galloprovincialis (Mediterranean mussel)
Lineage: Eukaryota; Metazoa; Mollusca; Bivalvia; Mytilida; Mytilidae
Source: RNAcentral